UACGUAGGGAGCAAGCGUUGUUCGGAUUUACUGGGCGUAAAGGGCGCGUAGGCGGCGUGGUAAGUCAGCUGUGAAAUCUCCGAGCUUAACUCGGAACGGUCAGCUGAUACUGCUGUGCUAGAGUACAGAAGGGGCAAUCGGAAUUCUUGGUGUAGCGGUGAAAUGCGUAGAUAUCAAGAGGAACACCUGAGGCGAAGGCGGGUUGCUAGGCUGAUAUUGACGCUGAGGCGCGAAAGCUAGGGUAGCAAACGGG
This 253-nucleotide ribosomal RNA is filed under the name uncultured bacterium. RNAcentral describes it as "partial 16S ribosomal RNA". It matches the Rfam family "Bacterial small subunit ribosomal RNA", at positions 524 to 776 of the family's 1533-position model. The record is from RNAcentral.